This 17766-nucleotide long non-coding RNA is filed under the name Triticum aestivum (bread wheat). RNAcentral's name for it is "long non-coding RNA (TAES_LNC000429)". Lineage: Eukaryota; Viridiplantae; Streptophyta; Magnoliopsida; Poales; Poaceae. The record is from RNAcentral.
UUUUUUUUCUAGGGUGCCCCCCUGCCCCCUUAUAUAAAGGAGCAAGGGGGAGGCUGGCCGGCCCUUGGGGCGCACCAGGAGAGGAGGAUUCCUCCUCCUAGUAGGAGUAGGACUCCCCUUUCCUACUCCUACUAGGAGGGGGAAAGGAAGGAGGAGAGGGAGAAGGAAAGGGGGCGCCGCCCCCCUUCCCUAGUCCAAUUCAGACCAGAGGGGAGGGGGCGCGCGACCUGCCCUGGCCGGCCCUCUCUCUCUCCACUAAGGCCCAUGUGGCCCAUUAGUUCUCUCGGGGGGUUCUGGUAACCCUCCGGCACUCCGGUUUUCUCCAAAAUCACCCGGAACACUUCCGGUGUCCGAAUAUAGCCGUCCAAUAUAUCAAUCUUUAUGUCUCGACCAUUUCGAGACUCCUCGUCAUGUCCAAUAUAGCAGGUUAAUUUGGCACCUAGCGGUGCUUCCAGGACGUAAUUCUUCUGUGCAGCAAUGAGGACAAUCCUCAAGUUACGGACCCAGUUCGUGUAGUUGCUACCAUCAUCUUUCAACUUAGCUUUCUCUAGGAACGCAUUAAAAUUCAACGGAACAACAGCACGGGGCAUCUAUCUACAACAACAUAGACAUGCAAAAUACUAUCAGGUACUAAGUUCAUGAUAAAUUAAAGUUCAAUUAAUCAUAUUACUAAAGAACUCCCACUUAGAUAGACAUCCCUCUAAUCAUCUAAGUGAUCACGUGAUCCAUAUCAACUAAACCAUGUCCGAUCAUCACGUGAGAUGGAGUAGUUUUCAAUGGUGAACAUCACUAUGUUGAUCAUAUCUACUAUAUGAUUCACGCUCGACCUUUCGGUUUCAGUGUUCCGAGGCCAUAUCUGCAUAUGCUAGGCUCGUCAAGUUUAACCCGAGUAUUCUGCGUGUGCAAAACUGGCUUGCACCCGUUGUAUGUGAACGUAGAGCUUAUCACACCCGAUCAUCAUGUGGUGUCUCGGCACGACGAACUUUCGCAACGGUGCAUACUCAGGGAGAACACUUGUACCUUGAAAUUUAGUGAGAGAUCAUCUUAUAAUGCUACCGUCGAACUAGGCAAAAUAAGAUGCAUAAAGGAUAAACAUCACAUGAAAUCAAUAUAAGUGAUAUGAUAUGGCCAUCAUCAUCUUGUGCCUUUGAUCUCCAUCUCCAAAGCACCGUCAUGAUCACCAUCGUUACCGGCGCGACACCUUGAUCUCCAUUGUAGCAUCGUUGUCGUCUCGCCAACUACUGCUUCUACGACUAUCGCUACCGCUUAGUGAUAAAGUAAAGCAAUUACAUGGCGAUUGCAUUUCAAUCAAUAAAGCGACAACCAUAUGGCUCCUGCCAGUUGCCGAUAACUCCGUUACAAAACAUGAUCAUCUCAUACAAUAAAAUUUAGCAUCAUGUCUUGACCAUAUCACAUCACAACAUGCCCUGCAAAAACAAGUUAGACGUCCUCUAAUUUGUUGUUGCAAGUUUUACGUGGUUGCUACGGGCUGAGCAAGAACCGUUCUUACCUAUGCAUCAAAACCACAAAGAUUUUUUGUCAAGUAUGUGUGCUGUUUUAACCUUCAACAAGGACCGGGCGUAGCCACACUCGAUUCAACUAAAGUUGGAGAAACUGACACCCGCCAGCCACCUGUGUGCGAAGCACGGUGGUAGAACCAGUCUCGCGUAAGCGUACGCGUAAUGUCGGUCCGGGCCGCUUCAUCCAACAAUACCGCCGAAUCAAAGUAUGACAUGCUGGUAAGCAGUAUGACUAUUAUCGCCCACAACUCACUUGUGUUCUACUCAUGCAUAUAACAUCUACGCAUAAACCUGGCUCUCAUGCCAUUGUUGGGGAACGUAGUAAUUUCAAAAAAAUUCCUACGCACACGCAAGAUCAUGGUGAUGCGUAGCAACGAGAGGGGAGAGUGUUGUCCACGUACCCUCGUAGACCGUAAGUGGAAGCGUUAUGACAACGUGGUUGAUGUAGUCGUACGUCUUCACGAUCGACUGAUCCUAGUACCGGAAGUAUGACACCUCCGCGAUUUGCACACGUUCGGCUCGGUGACGUCCCACGAACUCACGAUCCAGCAGAGUGUCGAGGGAGAGCUUCGUCAGCACGACGACGUGAUGACGGUGAGGAUGAAGCUACCGGUGCAGGGCUUCGCCUAAGCACUACGACGAUAUGACCGAGGUGGAUUAUGGUGGAGGGGGGCACCGCACACGGCUGGAAACAAUCAACUUUUUUUUGUUCUAGGGUGCCCCCCUGCCCCCGUAUAUAAAGGAGCAAGGGGGAGGCUGGCCGGCCCUUGGGGCGCGCCAGGAGAGGAAGAGUCCUCCUCCUAGUAGGAGUAGGACUCCCCUUUCCUACUCCUACUAGGAGGGGGAAAGGAAGAAGGAGAGGGAUAAGGGAAGGGGGGCGCCGCCCCCCUUCCCUAGUCCAAUUCAGACCAGAGGAGGAGGGGUGCGCGGCCUGCCCUGGACGGCCCUCUCUCUCCACUAAGGCCCAUGUGGCCCAUUAGUUCUCCCGGGGGAUUCCGGUAACCCUCUCGCACUCCGGUUUUCUCCGAAAUCACCCGGAACACUUCCGGUGUCCGAAUAUAGCCGUCCAAUAUAUCAAUCUUUAUGUCUCGACCAUUUUGAAACUCCUAGUCAUGUCCGUGAUCACAUCCGGGACUCCAAACUAUCUUCGGUACAUCAAAACACAUAAACUCAUGAUACCAAUCAUCACCGAAUGUUAAGCCUGAGGACCCUACGGGUUCGAGAACUAUGUAGACAUGACCGAGGCACGUCUCCGGUCAAUAACCAAUAGCGGAACCUGGAUGUUCAUAUUGGCUCCCACUUAUUCUACGAAGAUCUUUAUCGGUUAAACCGCAUAACAACAUACGUUGUUCCCUUUCUCAUCGGUAUGUUACUUCCCCGAGAUUCUAUCGUCGGUAUCUCAAUACCUAGUUCAAUCUCGUUACCGGCAAGUCUCUUUACUCGUACCGUGAUGCAUCAUCCCGCAACUAACUCAUUAGUCACAUUGCUUUCAAGGCUUAUAGUGAUGUGCAUUACCGAGAGGGCCCGGAGAUACCUCUCCGACAAGCAGAGUGACAAAUCCUAAUCUCGAUCUAUGCCAACUCAACAAGUACCAUCGGAGACACCUAUAGAGCACCUUUAUAAUCACCCAAUUACGUUGUGACAUUUGGUAGCACACAAAGUAUUCCUACGGUAUUCGGGAGUUGCAUAAUCUCAUAGUCAUAGGAACAUGUAUAAGUCAUGAAGAAAGCAAUAGCAUUAUACUAAACGAUCAAGUGCUAAGCUAACGGAAUGGGUCAAGUCAAUCACAUCAUUCUCUAAUGAUGUGAUCCCGUUAAUCAAAUGACAACUCAUGUCUAUGGCUAGGAAACUUAACCAUCUUUGAUUCAACGAGCUAGUCAAGUAGAGGCAUACUAGUGACACUUUGUUUGUCUAUGUAUACACACAUGUACUAAGUUUCCGGUUAAUACAAUUCUAGCAUGAAUAAUAAACAUUUAUCAUGAUAUAAGGAAAUAUAAAUAACAACUUUAUUAUUGCCUCUAGGGCAUAUUUCCUUUACACUGAACUAUCGAGUAGUCAUCAGCUUUGCUCUGCCGGACGUUCAUAACAUCUGGUGUUGCUGCUGCAGCAGGUUAAUUUGGCACCUAGAAGUGCUUCCAGGACGUAAUUCUUCUAUGCAGCAAUGAGGAUAAUCCUCAAGUUACGGACCCAGUCCGUGUAGUUGCUACCAUCAUCUUUCAACUUAGCUUUCUCUAGGAACGCAUUAAAAUUCAACGGAACAACAGCACGGGCCAUCUAUCUACAACAACAUAGACAUGCAAAAUACUAUCAGGUACUAAGUUCAUGAUAAAUUAAAGUUCAAUUAAUCAUAUUACUAAAGAACUCCCACUUAGAUAGACAUCCCUCUAAUCAUCUAAGUGAUCACGUGAUCCGUAUCAACUAAACCAUGUCCGAUCAUCACGUGAGAUAGAGUAGUUUUCAAUGGUGAACAUCACUAUGUUGAUCAUAUCUACUAUAUGAUUCAUGCUCGACCUUUCGGUUUCAGUGUUCCGAGGCCAUAUCUGCAUAUGCUAGGCUCGUCAAGUUUAACCCGAGUAUUCUGCGUGUGCAAAACUGGCUUGCACCCGUUGUAUGUGAACGUAGAGCUUAUCACACCCGAUCAUCACGUGGUGUCUCGGCACAACGAACUUUUGCAACGGUGCAUACUCAGGGAGAAUACUUGUACCUUGAAAUUUAGUGAGAGAUCAUCUUAUAUGCUACCGUCGAACUAAGAAAAAUAAGAUGCAUAAAGGAUAAACAUCACAUGCAAUCAAUAUAAGUGAUAUGAUAUGGCCAUCAUCAUCUUGUGCCUUUGAUCUCCAUCUCCAAAGCACCGUCAUGAUCACCAUCGUUACCGGCGCGACACCUUGAUCUCCAUCGUAGCAUCGUUGUCGUCUCGCCAACUACUGCUUCUACGACUAUCGCUACCGCUUAGUGAUAAAGUAAAGCAAUUACAUGGCGAUUGCAUUUCAAUCAAUAAAGCGACAACCAUAUGGCUCCUGCCAGUUGCCGAUAACUCCGUUACAAAACAUGAUCAUCUCAUACAAUAAAAUUUAGCAUCAUGUCUUGACCAUAUCACAUCACAACAUGCCCUUCAAAAACAAGUUAGACGUCCUCUACUUUGUUGUUGCAAGUUUUAUGUGGCUGCUACGGGCUGAGCAAGAACCGUUCUUACCUAUGCAUCAAAACCACAACGAUUUUUCAUCAAGUAUGUGCUAUUUUAACCUUCAACAAGGACCGGGCGAAGCCACACUCGAUUCAACUAAAGUUGGAGAAACUGACACCCGCCAGCCACCUGUGUGCGAAGCACGUCGGUAGAACCAGUCUCGCGUAAGCGUACGCGUAAUGUCGGUCCGGGCCGCUUCGUCCAACAAUACCGCCAAAUCAAAGUAUGACAUGCUGGUAAGCAAUAUGAGUAUUAUCGCCCACAAAUCACUUGUGCUCUACUCGUGCAUAUAACAUCUACGCAUAAACCUGGCUCGGAUGCCACUGUUGGGGAACGUAGUAAUUUCGAAAAAUUCCUACACACACGCAAGAUCAUGGUGAUGCAUAGCAACGAGAGGGGAGAGUGUUGUCUACGUACCCUCGUAGACCGUAAGGAGAAGCGUUAUGAAAACGCGGUUGAUGUAGUCGUACGUUUUCAUGAUCGACCGAUCCUUGUACCGAAAGUACGCCACCUCCGCGAUCUGCACACGUUCGGCUCGGUGACGUCCCACAAACUCACGAUCCAGCAGAGUGUCGAGGGAGAGCUUCGUCAGCACGACGGCGUGAUGACAGUGAUGAUGAAGCUACCGGCGCAGGGCUUCGCCUAAGCACUGCAAUGAUAUGACCGAGGUGGAUUAUGGUGGAGGGGGGCACCGCACACGGCUAAGAGAUCAAUGAUCAACUUGUGUGUUCUAGGGUGCCCCCUGCCCCCGUAUAUAAAGGAGCAGGGGGAGGACGGCCGGCCCUUGGGGCGCGCCAAGGAGGGGAGGAGUCCUCCUCCUAGUAGGAGUAGGACUCCCCCUUUGCUAGUCCAACUAGGAGGAGGAAGGGGAAAGGAAGCUGAGGGAGAGAGGAAGGGAAAGAGGGGGCGCCGCCCCCUGCCUUGUCCAAUUUGGACUCCCAGGAGGGGGCGCGGCCAGCCCUAUGGCCCCUCCUCUCUCUCACACAAGGCCCAUGUUGGCCCAUUAGUUCCCCCAGGGGUUCCGAUAACCCCCCAGCACUCCGAUAAUUAUCCGGUGACCCCCAAAACUCAUCCGGUGUCCGAAUAUAGUCAUCCAAUAUAUCAAUAUUUAUGUCUCGACCAUUUCGAGACUCCUCGUCAUGUCCGUGAUCACAUCCGGGACUCCGAACUAUCUUCGGUACAUCAAAACACAUAAACUCAUAAUACCAAUCAUCACCGAACGUUAAGCGUGCGGACCCUACGGGUUCGAGAACUAUGUAGACAUGACCGAGACACGUCUCCGGUCAAUAACCAAUAGUGGAACCUGGAUGUUCAUAUUGGAUCCCACAUAUUCUACGAAGAUCUUUAUCGGUCAAACCGCAUAACAACAUACGUUUUUCCCUUUGUCAUCGGUAUGUUACUUGCCCGAGAUUCGAUCGUCGGUAUCUCAAUACCUAGUUCAAUCUCGUUACCGGCAAGUCUCUUUACUUGUUCCGUAAUGCAUCAUCCUGCAACUAACUCAUUAGUCACAUUGCUUGCAAGGCUUAUAGUGAUGUGCAUUACCGAGAGGGCCCAGAGAUACCUCUCCGACAAUCGGAGUGACAAAUCCUAAUCUCGAUCUAUGCCAACUCAACAAGUACCAUCAGAGACACCUGUAGAGCACCUUUAUAAUCACCCAGUUACGUUGUGACGUUUGGUAGCUCACAAAGUGUUCCUCCGGUAUUCGGGAGUUGCAUAAUCUCAUAGUCAUAGGAACACGUAUAAGUCAUGAAGAAAGCAAUAGCAAUAUACUAAAUGAUCAAGUGCUAAGCUAACGAAAUGGGUCAAGUCAAUCACAUCAUUCUCUAAUGAUGUGAUCCCGUUAAUCAAAUGACAACUUAUGUCUAUGGCUAGGAAACUUAACCAUCUUUGAUUCAACGAGCUAGUCAAGUAGAGGCAUACUAGUGACACUCUGUUUGUCUAUGUAUUCACACAUGUACUAAGUUUCCGGUUAAUACAAUUCUAGCAUGAAUAAUAAACAUUUAGCAUGAUAUAAGGAAAUAUAAAUAACAACUUUAUUAUUGCCUCUAGGGCAUAUUUCCUUCACGACGCUGGUUCCUCCUCCGCCUCCAUGCCACUCCGUUUCAGCUCCUCCUCCAACGAGCCCCACCUCAUCUGCCCGGAGGCCACCUUUGAUCUCAACACCCCUCCUCCUGACCUCUCCGCUCCGGUCGACGGAGUCGCUGUCAGGCUUCAGCUACACCUCAUCAAAGCUAUCCAUGACCUAGAUGUGGUGGCUGCUGCAACUGCUCGCCGCCUCAACCUAUCCCCGCCUUGCCCAACCCACGCAUCUCGUCCUACACCUCGCUCGGCUCCGGCGUCCUCCGCGCACCUCAACAGAGGCCCCCCACCUUUGCUCCCAUCCCUAACACACCUCGCUAGCCCUUCAUCGUAGUCCUUCUUUUUGAUGAGCGCACCUCCAUUAGGGCUCAUGUCGCCCUCUUCAAGGGUACCACUCUCCCUGAUGCUCUCACAGUCCAGCUACCCAAUCUUGACAUCCUAGUUGUACAGCUUCAUGAGCAUGGCAAGGUCACACGCAUCGGCCCAAGCGACCCAUCUCCCUUCUCCUCUGAUGGGGACUUGGACUCCGCCUCGGAUUCGGCUUCCGACUCAAACUCCCCCGCUCCGGAUCCUUCCAUUGGCCUUCAGUGUGCCGCUACAGCCAUGGCAGCUUUUGGCCCUUUCACUGUCUCACCAGAAUUUCCACAGGGCCCACCACCUUCCCCAUCAAGAAACGCCUCGAUUGCCGCUAACGCCUUUGUUGAGCUUGCCAUCAGUUCAUCUGAUGAUGAAGUCCCUCUCGCCAGGGUUGGUUUGGCACCUCCAGUCCUUUUGGAUUCCAUCCUGGCUGAUAUGCAGCCCUUGCUGGCCGAUCAUCAUUCAGCUAACCCCGAUCUGCCUCCAAACACUUCUCCGGUGGACUGUGUGCCUCCCUCUGCUCCCAUCCUUGCUGUUGCUGCCACUGUUCCAGCCGCCUUGACGACGGCGCCACGUGUUGCUGCUCCGGUGGUGUACUCUCGCCGUCCCAGGGCUGUUGUGGUGCUGGCGCAGUCCCCCCAGCCGGCCAUGGAUCUUGAGGCUGAUCCGGUGGUGCAUGAGGCCGUUGCCAAGAAAGCACGUGCCUGCCGCAAGCGGGCCAGCUCUGUUCUGCAUGUCAGGCGGAGUGCUCGGCUCGCUGAACUGGAGCCAUACAAGAAGGAGACCAUGCAGGACAAGGCCUCCAAGGCAAAAGCCAAGCGCUUGAUGCUGGGCAACUCUGCUCGUGAUUUUGAGGAUGUCGUGCGCUCCGCUCGCCUGUACCCUGAUGAUGUUCAGCCUGGGUCUCCUCGCGCCCUGGCCGCUCUGGCUCUAGAAUGUGGCUCUUCACCUGAUGAGGCCGAGUUCGUGGCUUCGACUGCUGUGUCGUUGCCAAGUGAUCUAUGUAUUGCUGCGUCAAGAAGUUUGGUUGUUGCCGCUGCUUGUGCUGGCUGGCAGACAUACCUGUAUCCGUAGUUUGGUUCCAAGUGUCAUGUAUUUCCCUUUUAAGCUAGUGUUUGUUGUAGUGCUUUAUGUCUAGAUCGACCUUGUCGUUCUGUUCUUGGAAUGUAAGAGGAUUAGGCGACGAAGGAAAAUGCACUGAAGUUUUAUCUGAAUUAAUGUCUCUCAAACCAAACCUUCUUCUUCUUCAAGAAACCAAACGGGUAGCCCCUUCUCCGCUGAAAAUCAGAUCCUUCCUCCCCUGGUCCCUUGAUUUUGUUAGCUAUCUCCCAGCGCGUGGCACUGCUGGUGGGCUACCAACGACUGUCUCUACUACCUCCCUAUCGGUCAAGUCGCACGUCAAUCACUCGUUCUGUAACUCCAUUACACUUCAAUCUCUCGCUUGUCCAACCCCUUUCGUUGUUACCAACGUGUACGCGCCAACUACUCGAGCUCUCAAAAGCGACUUCCUCGACGAAUUAAAAAGUAUUGCCCCCCCCCCCCAGAAAACACCCCGUGGUUAGUCAUAGGCGACUUCAAUCUCCCUCAUGAGAAAAAUAAUCCCAAUUUCCAUCAUCUUGAGGCCAAUCUCUUCAACGACACCUUGGACCACCUUGCUCUACUAGAACUACCCCUCCUGGAUAGGAAGUUCACCUGGACGAAUAAUCAAGACUCACCUGUUCUAGAACGCCUCGACCGUGCUUUCUUCAACUUAGCCUGGAACAAUUCCUUCCCAAACUGCUCGCUCACCUCCCUGCCACGCCUCACUUCUGACAAUGUUCCACUUGUCGUCUCCAGCUCUACCUCCAUCCCAUGCUCCCGCCUUUUUUGGUUUGAACAUUCCUGGGCCUUGCAUCGGGCCUGCCGACGUAUCGUAGCUCAGGAUGCCGCCCAGCACAACCAAACCAGCCCAUCCCCCUCCUCCAACCUGGCCCAAACGCUUCAAACCUGCCGUUCGCGCCUAUAGCAAUGGGAAAACCUUCAGACCACCACCCGUCAGAGAGCAACGUUGUAAGACUGUUCUUAAGUUGAUCGAUGCUAAAGAGGAAUCUCGCUCUCUCUGUACCUGAGUCUUCCCUGCGAGUUGUCCUCAAGCGCUCCCUCCAUCGAGCCAUCCGUGAUCAUAUGAUGGCAAUCGGACAGCGAGCAAAAGUUAAGUGCGCCAUUUGGGGAGAUGAAAAUACAAAAAAAAUCAUGUCUCUACUUCCCAACGCUACCGCAAAAAUCCCCAAGAUGGGAUCUCACGGGUACAGAAGGUUGCGGCGGUGUAAUUAGAUUUUCGUGGAUGCCUCUGAUGGUUUGGGGGUACGUAGGUAUAUAUAGAAGGAAGAAGUACGUCGGUGGAGCAACGUGGGCCCCAUGAGGGUGGAGGGCGCGCCUGGGGGGUUAGGCGCGCCCCCUGCCUCGUGCUCUCCACGUUGAUUGCUUUACGUAGACUCCAAGUCCUCUGGAUCACGUUUGUUCCGAAAAUCACGUUCCCGAAGAUUUCAUUCCGUUUGGACUCCGUUUGAUAUUCUUUUUCUGCGAAAUACUAAAAUAGGCAAAAAAACAGCAAUUUGGGCUGGGCCUCCGGUUAAUAGGUUAGUCCCAAAAAUAAUAUAAAAGUGUAUAAUAAAGCCCAUUAAACAUCCAAAACAGAAUAUAAUAUAGCAUGGAACAAUAAAAAAUUAUAGAUACGUUGGAGACGUAUCAGGCCUCAUUCCGGGCUGUCUCCGCGCUCUGACGAGCCUUGGCGAGUUCGGUAUCUCGAACCGACGCGUCACGCUCCAAGGCCUCGCACUUCCUCACCGCGUCCUGGAGCUCUUGUUGAACCUCGUUGACCCGGGCCUUGAGCUUCUUACGGGCGGCCUGCUCCUUGACAGCCUUCCCCUCUGCUUCGGCCAGGGCCUUCUUCAGGGCCUCGACCUCGGUCGUUGCUCCUAUACAUAUCAUGACACUUCGGUCAGAUAUAUAUCAUCUUACUCUUUUUGAGUAUUUCUCGGGUUAUUACAUACCUUGAUUCUCCUGGAGCUGCCUCUUCACCUGGCCAAGCUCCUCCCCGGCCUGCUCCAGCCUCCGCUUUAGUUCGGAGACUUCAGCAGCAUGUGAGGUCGCGGCCAGCAGUGACGCCUGCAUAUUCAUUCCCGACAAAUUUAGUUAGUUUCCUGCAAUAAAGGAUUGAUCCUCUGUCCGGUUUUUUCUUUCUGAAACAUCGGACAGUGUCUCAGGGGCUACUGUCUAUAUCGGGAUUUUCUCUUUUUUUUGUCGCUUACCUCAAAACCUGUCAGCAGGUUGCUGCAGGCUUCGGUUAGUCCGCUCUUGGCGGACUGAACCCUUUCAAUCACCGUGCCCAUAAGAACACGGUACUCAUCCACAAUGGAAGCGCCUCGUAGCGCUUCCAUCAGAUUAUCUGGUGCCCCUGGUUGGAUAGGGGUCACUGGGGGAAUGGGCGUGUUGCGUGCCGGAUUCCGGAGCCGUAUCGGUCUCCGGAAUCAAGUCCGGCUGAGGGCCGAACUGAGUACGGCCCUCCUCCCCAGUCUCCAGGGGGAUGGGUUCCCCCUAGUGUUCGACGAUGGGGGCUUCGCCUUCGGGCGCCUCUCGAGCCUCCCCCCGGCCUGGGAAGGUCCGUUGGGAGAGCACCUCGUCGUCUCCUUUGGCCUUGGGAGAGUAAGCGGCCGGCGGUGUCUCGCUGGCCAUCUCCUUUGAGUCCAACGAACCUCUUGAUGAGGAUCGCUGGGAGCUGUCGUGGGCCGGACUGUAAUAACAUAAUUAACCAUGUCAAUACAUUCAAGAGGAGAGGCUGGACAUAUGGGUGUGCGGGAGUCAUAGCACUUACGAUGCAGCUUCAGGCUUGGUGCAGGGGUGUCGCUCCGGACUGCUGUUGAUGUCCCAUGCGGAGUUAUCCGCGAAGGAGCCCUUCCCCUUCUUGGACGUCCCUGCCUCCAGUUUCGUGGAGGCCGCCCUCUUCUUCCUUCCCUCAUCAAGGGGAGGGUUGUUCUCCUCCUCCUCCUCAUCGUUGUCAUCUUCGGCGGCGGAGGAGCGGGUCUUGUCUUCGGACGUCGCGCCCGAAGCGCUCUUGCGACGGGGGCCACUCCGGACCCCCUUGGCCUUCCCCUUGGCCUUCUUCGCUGGCGCUGUAUAGGGCGCCGGUACCAGCAUCUUCGCUAAACGCGGAAUGACUGGUUCUUCGGGUAGCGGAGCCGGACACUGGAUCCGCUUCGCCCCCUUCAUCCAUUCUUGAAGAAACAAUGACAGUAAAAGUUCAGAUAUCCUCCUUGAAAGCAGACAAGUAGAGGACGUGUUGGAAACUCACCUCGCUGGCGGGGUGGUUAACGUCGUGCCCACAAUCCGAAUCCGUGGCUGGCGGUGUUUCGUUGCCCUUAAAGAGCAACUUCCAGGCAUCUUCGUGAGUGGUCUCGAAGAGCCUCUUCAGGGUAUGGUGCUUCUUCAGAUUGAACUUCCAUAACGGGAGGCUUUGGCACGGGAGAAUCCGGCGAACUAGCAUCACCUGGAUUAUAUCAACAAGUCUGACAUCCUUGUCCACCAUGCUUUGAACGCGCGUCUACAGCGCUAUCAGCUCGUCUGGCGAACACCAGUUCGGGCUCUUCUCGACCCAAGAGGUGAGCCGCAUUGGGGCACCGGGGUUGAAUUCGGCAGCUACGGCCCAGUUGGUGAUGCGGGGUUCUGUAAUGUAGAACCAUUGUUUCUGCCAUUCCUUGACAGUCUCCACGAAAGUGCCUUUCAGCCAGGAGACAUUGGACAGCUUACUCACCAUGGCUCAUCCGCACUCCGCGUGCUGGCUAUCCACCACCUUCGGCUUCACGUUGAAGACCUUGAGCCAUAGCCUGAAGUGGGGUUGGAUGCGGAGGAAGGCCUCACACACGACAAUGAACGCCGAGAUAUUGAGGAAAGAGUUCGGGGAUAGAUCAUGGAAAUCUAUCCCGUAAUAGUACAUCAGCCCGCGGACGAAAGGGUGGAGUGGAAACCCUAGCCCGCGAAGGAAAUGAGGGAUGAAUACCACCCUCUCGUUGGGCUUCGGCGUGAGGAUGAUUUGCCCCUGGGCUGGAAGACGGUGGGCGAUUUCCUUCGCCAAGUACCCGGCCGCCCGAAGCUCAGUAAUGUCCUUCUCCCUGACAGAGGAGACCAUCCACUUGCCUUGACCUCCGGAUCCGGACAUGGCUGAGUGCUAGCUUGAGUGGGUAGAAGAUGAGGACUUGGGCGUUGGAGCUCAAGAUUGGAAGGGUGGAGGAAGAGAGAAGGCGUGGGAGAAGAAGGGGGAAUCCUUAUCCCCUUAUAAAGGCAGUGAAUAUUGAACGCCUCCCCAUUCGCCUCAAAACUCGCCUAUUCCCAAGGACUGUGUAAAUGGUACGGUUGGGUUACCCACGCCCGUAUUGAUGAGAAUCCCGCAAUAAGGGGACACGAUCUCUGCUUUGACAAGACAUGCCAAUGGCAACCGUGUCUCGAAACAUGGAGCGGCGGACGAAAAACGGUUUGAAAUUAUGACCGGACAGACGUGAUGUCAUGUUACAAAAAGUUGUCAGCGGAUUGGAUUCGUGAAAUAUUAUAUUCUCUCUACGAUUGUGUGUGGUGUGCAGGUCCGGACACAUUGAUACGUCCGAAGACUAUUUCAGAGUUUGGAAGGAGGAACCCGCCUUGCAAUGCCGAAGACAGACCUACGCGCCGGAUACCUUGUCAUUGAAGCCAGGUUCAGGGGCUACUGAGGGAGUCUUGGACUAAGGGGUCCUCGGGCAUCCGGCCUGUUAGCCAUGGGCCGGACUGAUGGGCUGUGAAGAUAUGAAGACCGAAGACUGCACCCGUGUCCGGAUAGGACUCUCCUUGGCGUGGAAGGCAAGCUUGGCGACCGAAUAUGUAGAUUCCUUUCUUUGUAACCGACCUUGUGUAACCCUAGAUCUCCCAGGUGUCUAUAUAAACCGGAGGACUUAGUCCGGAUAGGAGAGACUCAUUACCAUAGUCAUACAAGCUAGACCUCUAGGGUUUAGCCAUUACGAUCUUGUGGUAGAUCAACUCUUGUAAUACUCAUAUUCAUCAAGAUCAAUCAAGCAGGAAGUAGGGUAUUACCUCCAUAGAGAGGGCCCGAACCUGGGUAAACAUCGUGUCCCUUGUCUCCUGUUACCAUCGACCUUAGACGCACAGUUCGGGACCCCCUACCCGAGAUCCGCCGGUUUUGACACCGACACCGCACAAGCUCAAACUUUUCGCCUGGCUGCUCUUUCGAGGACGACUAAACAGUCGUGCAAAUCUGUCCUUCAAACACAUGGCUGAUUCCGCCAGCUGUCCACGAUGUGCUGGCCCCUCUGAAGAUACUACUCAUCUGUUCAUUGCCUGCCCGCGGGCUAUGCAGAUUUGGGCACAUCUAGGCCUCUCCACUACCCCCAGGUUCCAAGACCUCUGGUUGGUCCNNNNNNNNNNNNNNNNNNNNNNNNNNNNNNNNNNNNNNNNNNNNNNNNNNNNNNNNNNNNNNNNNNNNNNNNNNNNNNNNNNNNNNNNNNNNNNNNNNNNNNNNNNNNNNNNNNNNNNNNNNNNNNNNNNNNNNNNNNNNNNNNNNNNNNNNNNNNNNNNNNNNNNNNNNNNNNNNNNNNNNNNNNNNNNNNNNNNNNNNNNNNNNNNNNNNNNNNNNNNNNNNNNNNNNNNNNNNNNNNNNNNNNNNNNNNNNNNNNNNNNNNNNNNNNNNNNNNNNNNNNNNNNNNNNNNNNNNNNNNNNNNNNNNNNNNNNNNNNNNNNNNNNNNNNNNNAUCAGUACCCUAAUAUUCUGCAAUGGAUCAUAUGAAGAACCUAUAAGCACAGUACGCUCAUGUUCUAUUAGCCAAUGGCAUGUAAACUUGUAAGGCCUUCCACUACGUAGCCGGUGCCCGGCAUGUUAAAAUAUAGUAGACUGGGCAUCGAUGCCCUGGUAAAUUUCUUUGGCACCGGCCUCACACCGUGCGGGUGCAGCCCGUAGAAAGAUGGGACCCACAUGUACAUAGAAAAAUCAAAGCAAGCCAACCUCUGGUCAAUCCUUCACGCCAAUUCCUCUCGUCCACCUUCAGAAAAAUGAGGCAUUGGAGCAGCAAGUACAUAUGGUAGUAUAUUCUAUCGCAAUGCUCGAAUGGGGCAUCGGAGCAGGAACUUGCUCCGGUUCCCAGAAAACUUUUUAUGGCACCGCAUGAGCUAUGGAGGGCACCGGUGCCAAAUAAUGUAAAAGUAGAUUUGGCACCUCUUUUGGCCUACAUAGUGGAAGGCCUAAGAGGCCGAGAAAUUUACUGACAGUGAGUCGAACCCCACUGCAGUUAUCACUUGAUAGACGAACAAUGAGAAUACCUGAAAGAAAGAAGGCGGAAGGGAGCAGACAAAUGGAUGUACAUGAAAAAAGAGGAUGAAAGAGGACAACAACCUAUGCAUGAAGAAACAAAUGAAGAAACAACUUCUUGGGCAUAUGAACUGGGCAUACCAACCCGAAACAUGGAUGCAGACAGGAGGCCCGGACCCCGGAGGCGACGGUAGGACGACUAUAGGGCAGCGCGUGCUACUGGCGGCAUGGCGAACUGUCGCAUCACCACAAAUCGUGGGGAUUGGGCGAGACAACACGAAUUGAAUGAAACUUGUGAUGGGCCUACAUGGGCUUUUGGUCGUCGAUUGACUUGAUGAAGGAGAUGAUCUCUAGCUCUGUGCGCGGAGCAGCGGUCCAAUUACGUGGGCUGAGUGGACUACAAUAAUGACGGGUGAAAAGGCACUACGACGCUGGGUGACACAAUUGAACAAAUCUGAGCCUUUUCUUUGCUGGAUCCGACGGCUGACAGCACCAAAUUGUUGUUGUGGCUUGUAGGUGCCCCAUUAUACUGUUUCUUAAUACAUUUUUGCCUGACAUUAAAUUAGGUUUCAGCUUUCCACAUAUAUUGCUACUCUUUUUCAAGAUUUCUUAGGGCAACUCAAACACGAAAACCGCAAAAAGGACCUCACCAAAUGUUCGUGAACAUGUUCGGGUGUGUCCGUGAACAGGGAUGGGGGUGGAGGCCAUCUAAAUGUCCACUCCUAGGUUUUUUUCCAUAUACCCGGACCCGGACUAACAAAAAACAAAGAUAAAUAGCAUAUAAUUUUUUAGCAAUUGAAAGAUAAAUAUUCCAAUGCAACAAUAAUUCAAAUAAAUAUAUUACAAUCCAAACAUAAAGUUUUGAAAUAAAAUGUUUAAGUUUGAAUCAUCAUAGUCGGACACAUGUUCUAUUUAUGAAACACCUAAAGGUGCCCAGCCAGAUCAUUUUGCAGCUGCUCACGAGUUCAUUGAUGUCAAAUUUGAUGAUGCAUUUGGAUAAAAUCCUCAAAUUUAACUGGAUUCUGCCAUGGACCGAACACUUGUCGUGCGUGGUGUCUGCCAUGGACGGCGUCAGAAGAUAGCGAAGGAUACUUGAGCUGCGGCUAGAUAGCGGAUGGAACUGCUGCAUAGUCCAAGGUGGGAAGGCGCUUGGGUGGAACACCUGAGGUCCAGCAAAGCCUGGAUAGAGUGCGGUGGGAGGGACGGAGCGAGGGGAAAGAGGCUUCAGGUUGGGAUAUUUUGGGUGUGUCGGACGUCCGGAUGCCCGCAAACCGCCCUUACGAUUAUGAGAUUUCAGACAUCCAAACCAAUUCAGCCAUUUUUGGUGACCAUCCAACAUCUAAGGGCAACACAGAUAAUCAAAUUUGGAUGACAAAAAAUGACUGAAUCAUCCGGUCUGGACAUUUGCAGGCAAUUUAGUGAUCAGCAAUGGAGUUGCCCUACGGGUUUGUUACACCUAAGCCAUCAAGACAUCUUCCUCUUUUCUCUUGUAUUCUUCUCCUAGUUGAUUCAUUAUCUCUACCGUAUUGCAUGAAAUGAAUUUGGGUUUCUGACAAGAAAACAGUAUAACGAAGUUAUUGGUAUUACACUGGACUGUAUUUUUAUGUUGCUUGACAUGUUGAAUUUCUCACAACAACGUAAAAAUAGAACUUCAACAAAAACAAAAUGGCCCGCUAUUGCUUCAAGUUAUGUUUAUACUUGACUAAGCAGAAGAUCUUCCAGCCUGAGCUCAGAAACAACUAAAAGCACCGUAUGCAACAACCGAAAACGCACAUACAGCUCACAAACAUUAGCUUCCCAAAACUAGGCAUUAUACAGCGCUGCAGGAUAAAUACCUCAGCAUUCAAGGGUAAGAAAAGCAUCACAACUGCAGCUUAUUCGGGAUUCGAAAUCACCAUAAUCUUUAAUCCGGUGUGUACAAAACUGUCUCAGACAACAAGUUUAAUGAGUCUACAAGGCAAAUUCUCGAGUUCAGCCAGUAACACACCUCUGGUUGAACCCCUCGGAAACUGCUGUAGAGAAUUCAAGAUUUUAUUGUGCGAGGGGGUUGCAAUGUUAUCAUUCACUUCAGUUUUGUUACUGCGGCAUGUAUGGCAUCUGCAAGAUGGGGUACAGUUCUGGAGCUCAAACCGGCCAUGCUGAUCCUCCUGCAAGACAAAAUAUAUGACCUGUCAAUAUGAACUAGCUACAGGGGACUCUUGAGAAUGAAAACCACCAAAGAAAGCAGUGCUGAAUCUACUAAAUGUGCAUAGACAGUAUGGCUGGAAAAGAAGGCAUCCAAGUUACACUACUAAUGCAUUUGGUGACGAGAUAUGUAAAUGGGUGAGAAUUCAGAAGGCAUUACCCAUCAGAUGUCAUGUAAAUGUGAUAUUCUUGCCUCAUGAAGGCUACUUGAUCACUGUUGAGCCCAGUGAAAGUAAACAUCCCAAUCUGCUUAAUGAUGUGGGACCAAUCUCCAGGUGUUUCUGCAUGAUAUGAAAAAUGGUCAACACUUUGGUAUAGAGGAAUUAAUAAGAAAUGGGUCAAAAGAUUGAACAUCCAUAACUUGGAGAUCGAUGGACCAGAACCAGAACACUUAGUGCACUACAUGAACUUCAGAUUUCAGGGAAUUUAACAGGAACUUAGUAAUAAACCGUAUACAAAUAUAGGAGGUCAGAUAUUUAUCAGAUUUUGCUAAUAACCCAAGAAGUUUCUGUUCAGAAUAACGUAAUACUAAUAUCCAAAGAACAAUUAGUUCAGAGAAAUUGUAUCAAUUGCUGAAAAUAAAAUGACACUAGGUUCUGAUAGAAGAUCCUGGGAGAAUUUAUGAGACUGAAAAAGGCCAUUAUUCAGACAUUAAUUAUGUUAAUAACAGCAAAGAGGAAACAGUGGACUUUGACAGAAACUAGUACCCCUGAUUUUCAGCGCAUUAAAAAGCUGCUCCCUCAUGCUAAUUAUCCUAUCAGCCAUGGCCUUCAGCUCCAGAGUCCAUUCGUCGAACAUAGCACUACAAAUUGAGAAAAAAUAGUCAAUAAGAACUAAGCACUACCAAUUAUUAGAUUUGUCGAUCUGCCAAUAAAAAUUCAUUUCAACACAACUCAGUCUAUGAUUGAAUAGAAUACUACCUGUCCUUAAGUAUGGUAGCCACGAUAGAAGCACCAUGAAGAGGAGGGUUCGAAUACAUAGGCCUAAUUACAAGCUUAAGUUGACUUUCAACCUUAACAGCUAUAUCAGCACUCCCACAAACCUGAAACAUUAAGUUGGAUUUUUCUUUCAGUUCCUCAAACAACUCAAUAACAUGAAAACUAUGAGAUGCAAUACAG